RNAcentral lists this ribosomal RNA (582 nucleotides) under uncultured bacterium. Its description in RNAcentral is "bacterial SSU rRNA". It matches the Rfam family "Bacterial small subunit ribosomal RNA", at positions 338 to 918 of the family's 1533-position model. The record is from RNAcentral.
CCUACGGGAGGCAGCAGUGGGGAAUAUUGCACAAUGGGCGCAAGCCUGAUGCAGCGACGCCGCGUGGGGGAUGACGGCCUUCGGGUUGUAAACCUCUUUCACCAUCGACGAAGGUCCGGGUUCUCUCGGAUUGACGGUAGGUGGAGAAGAAGCACCGGCCAACUACGUGCCAGCAGCCGCGGUAAUACGUAGGGUGCGAGCGUUGUCCGGAAUUACUGGGCGUAAAGAGCUCGUAGGUGGUUCGUCGCGUUGUUCGUGAAAUCUCACGGCUUAACUGUGAGCGUGCGGGCGAUACGGGCAGACUAGAGUACUGCAGGGGAGACUGGAAUUCCUGGUGUAGCGGUGGAAUGCGCAGAUAUCAGGAGGAACACCGGUGGCGAAGGCGGGUCUCUGGGCAGUAACUGACGCUGAGGAGCGAAAGCGUGGGGAGCGAACAGGAUUAGAUACCCUGGUAGUCCACGCCGUAAACGGUGGGUACUAGGUGUGGGUUUCCUUCCUUGGGAUCCGUGCCGUAGCUAACGCAUUAAGUACCCCGCCUGGGGAGUACGGCCGCAAGGCUAAAACUCAAAGGAAUUGACGGGG